Molecule: non-coding RNA, 401 nt
Organism: Paramuricea clavata
Lineage: Eukaryota; Metazoa; Cnidaria; Anthozoa; Malacalcyonacea; Plexauridae
Source: the annotation of a GenBank genome assembly
AACUUUUAACAAUGGAUCUCUUGUCUCGUGCGUUGAUGACGAACGCAGCCAGCUGCAAUAAUAGGUAGUGACCGUAGUGUGAAUUACAGAAUUCAGCUAACAUCUGUUGGAUUACGAUUGAACGCCUCUAAAUCAGAAUUCGUGCUAGAACGCAAAGAUUCCUUUCUCUGGACCACUGCGCGAACGAGAAUAGUGAUGCGACUCGUCGUGCCUCCUUUUGUGUCACUAAGGUGCCCAUGGAGCAGACUAUGCACCUAAGCACUACAGCGAUCAAAAUCUAAAUUUUCCAGAGCUUAUAAAUCCUUUGCGGACGACAUAAAUAAAGAACGAGGUAUCGUAAGUAGUAGAAUAGUGGAGUAUCCAUGUUGCUAUGAUCUGCUGAUCCCUUGGACAAAGGUUCU